CGGGUGACUUAUGCUUAGGAAUCUGCCUAUUAGUGGGGGACAACAUUUGGCCUGGAAUGCUAAUACCGCAUACGUCCUACGGGAGAAAGCAGGGGAUCUUCGGACCUUGCGCUAAUAGAUGAGCCUAAGUCGGAUUAGCUAGUUGGUGGGGUAAAGGCCUACCAAGGCGACGAUCUGUAGCGGGUCUGAGAGGAUGAUCCGCCACACUGGGACUGAGACACGGCCCAGACUCCUACGGGAGGCAGCAGUGGGGAAUAUUGGACAAUGGGCGCAAGCCUGAUCCAGCCAUGCCGCGUGUGUGAAGAAGGCCUUAUGGUUGUAAAGCACUUUAAGCGAGGAGGAGGCUACUUUAGUUAAUACCUAGAGAUAGUGGACGUUACUCGCAGAAUAAGCACCGGCUAACUCUGUGCCAGCAGCCGCGGUAAUACAGAGGGUGCAAGCGUUAAUCGGAUUUACUGGGCGUAAAGCGCGCGUAGGCGGCUAAUUAAGUCAAAUGUGAAAUCCCCGAGCUUAACUUGGGAAUUGCAUUCGAUACUGGUUAGCUAGAGUGUGGGAGAGGAUGGUAGAAUUCCAGGUGUAGCGGUGAAAUGCGUAGAGAUCUGGAGGAAUACCGAUGGCGAAGGCAGCCAUCUGGCCUAACACUGACGCUGAGGUGCGAAAGCAUGGGGAGCAACAGGGAUAGAUACCCUGUUAGUCCAGGCCGUAAACGAUGUCUACUAGCCCGUGGGGGCCUUUGAGGUUUUAUGGCGCACCUAACGCGAUAGGUAAAA
RNAcentral lists this ribosomal RNA (770 nucleotides) under uncultured bacterium. RNAcentral describes it as "bacterial SSU rRNA". It matches the Rfam family "Bacterial small subunit ribosomal RNA", at positions 103 to 869 of the family's 1533-position model. The record is from RNAcentral.